This 1013-nucleotide ribosomal RNA is filed under the name metagenome. Its description in RNAcentral is "bacterial SSU rRNA". The stretch from base 402 to 1013 matches the Rfam family "Bacterial small subunit ribosomal RNA", at positions 874 to 1473 of the family's 1533-position model. The record is from RNAcentral.
CUUAAGAUAAUAAAGAACACAAAGAUACUCAAAAAACGUUUACCUAUUAACCAUAAUAAAAAAGAUUGAUAAAAAAGGGAGGGUUCCAGGGCCAGGGUGGUAUCAUUAAUAUAUGAAUAUGAUUAAUCCAAAUAAUUAAUUUAGAGAUAUAAUUGAGUUGAAUGGUUGGGUUGCGGGCGUAUGGGCGCUUUCGUUAGAUCUUUAUACUUAACUUUAUUUUAAAGGGGAUUGAAUUUAAAUUUUAUUUAUACUUACCAAAAAUUUGUUUUAGCAUGUCGUUAUAAAAAAUGACCUAAAAUUAUACUUUUUUUACAUACCUGAAGAAAAGCUCUUUUGUUUUUUUCAUAAAUAUAUUUUUGCUUGAGUUUCAGAGAGUGCGCUAACGCAUGAAAUCAGCAGCCUAAAGACUACGGCCGCAAGGCUAAAAUUUAAAGGAAUUGACGGGGGCUUACACAAGCGGUGGAGCAUGUGGUUUAAUUCGAAACAACGCGCAGAACCUUACCAAUCCUUGCAAUAUACAGGAAACAACUGUUACAAGUUGUCUUUUGGUAUACAGGCGCUGCAUGGCUGUCGUCAGUUCGUGGCGUGAGCUGUUGGGUUAAGUCCUAGAACGAACGCAACCCUCUUAGCAUGUGCAAUAAUGUUGCCUUGCUAAACUGCCAGUGACAUACGGGAGGAAGGAGAGGAUGACGUCAAGUCCGCAUGGCCCUUAUGGGUUGGGCUACACACGUGCUACAAUGGCGAACACAAAGGGAUGCAAGAUGGCAACAUGGAGCAAAUCCUCAACUUUCGUCGUAGUUCGGAUUGUUCUCUGCAACUCGAGAACAUGAAGUUGGAAUCGCUAGUAAUCGUAGAUCAGCAUGCUACGGUGAAUUUGUAUCUAAGCCUUGUACACACCGCCCGUCACAUAAUGGGAGCGGGACUUGCACAAAGCAUAUUAAACACCAUUUGGACAGAUUUUAACACGUUUUUUUCUGCCUUUGUUUGUUUAGUACGUUACUGUAGGUACUGUG